Molecule: long non-coding RNA, 1284 nt
Organism: Helianthus annuus (common sunflower)
Lineage: Eukaryota; Viridiplantae; Streptophyta; Magnoliopsida; Asterales; Asteraceae
Exons: 2
Source: RefSeq, a predicted model, not a curated record
CCCUAGAAAAUCCAAAUCAAAAUGUCAGACAACAUACCAUUCGAAAUCCAAGAGGAAAUCAUAAAAAAGCUUCCAGUGAAAUCGUUGAUUCAGUUCCGAUCCGUCUCCAAACCAUGGAAGUCUCUCAUCGAUAGCACUGAUUUUAUAAAGCAUUAUAGGGGCCAGAUGCAGCAUCUACUCGUAAGGUAUAUAGACAAAGUUGAUAUUCGGGAAAAAAAUAUUUCAAUUGUUGACGAUGAUAGCUUCCCCACUCAGAGAGUUUCUGUGACUCGUCCCACGUUGUUUAACAUGCUCAAAACUUAUGUUAUAAUCGGUAGCUCUCAUGGCUUGUUGUGUUUGUACAGUGAUGGCUGUGAUAACAUGGUUGUUCUUUGGAAUCUUUCUAUUAGAAAAGCUGUUGCUGUUGAUGUGCGUUAUGUGUCAAAUGUGUAUGAUACUGUUAUAGGUUUCGGGGUUUGUCGUGAGACUAGCGAUCCUAAGAUUGUCAAGAUUACAUAUAUUCAUAAUAGGACCGGACCGAGACGAUAAGUAUACCUGAUAGUAUCCCAUGGCAAGUUGAAGUUUUUACAUUAAGCACAGGGGUGUGGAGAAGUCCUUGUAACAAUCUCCCUCGUAAAGCAGUUCAGUUUACCGGUCUCCAGGUAGUUGUAGAUGGAGUUCUUUAUUGGCUUGCUAUGGACCGGAUUGCCAUGGAUGGUGGAUUUCAUGUUUAUAAACGUUUGAUAUCACAAGUGAGGAAUUUAAAGAAGUAAUCCUUCCAGAUAAUUUAGCAAACAAGCCAUCAUAUAAAUCACUGUAUUUGUCUAAGCUAAGGGAGUCACUUGUUGUUCUUGAAGAUGAGAUGGUUGUAUGGAUGAUGGAGGGGGAUGUUCAAAAAACGUUUACGAAGCUAUUCACUAUUUACACACCUGCCGAAACCGUACUAACAGUACUGGAAUUUAGGAAGAGUGGUGAACCGGUAAUUGAAUAUCGUCGUGAACAGGAUAAAGAUUCAUCGCUUGUUGUUUAUGACCCCUGCUCAAAACAGUUCAAUAAUCUUGAGAUUAAUGGAAGAGGUUCAUAUAAUGUGUGUUUCUACACGGAAACGCUGCUUCUUCUUGAUCAGCCAGAAGGCUUUGAGUUUUGAAGCAUACAAGCAAGGGCAAUGGAGAUGGGAAGAAGCUUGAGGAACUUUUUACCAAUCAAGAAUUUUCUAUGAAGUUGGUGUAGCAAUUUAAUUUAUAGGUGUGUUAGGUGAAAUUUUGUAUGAUAUCAUAAAAUUUUAUUAUGAGAUUUGUUGUUAUA